This 497-nucleotide ribosomal RNA is filed under the name activated sludge bacterium LB1. RNAcentral describes it as "bacterial SSU rRNA". It matches the Rfam family "Bacterial small subunit ribosomal RNA", at positions 54 to 524 of the family's 1533-position model. The record is from RNAcentral.
CAUGCAGUCGUGGGGUAGAGGGGAGCUUGCUCCUCUUGAGACCAGGGGAACGGGUGAGGAACACGUACACAACCUUCCUUUUAGUGGGGGAUAGCCCAGGGAGAACUUGUGAUAUAUAUACACCCGUAAUAUGGCGAUGAAGCGAUCUCAUUGUUAUUAUAACAUCGAUGCGCUAGAAAAACGGGUGUGCGUAUGAUUAGGUAGUUGGCGGGGUAACGGCCCACCAAGCCGAUGAUCAUUAACUGAGUGUGAGAGCAUCGAUCCAGCUCACACGGGCACUGAGACACGGGCCCGACUCCUACGGGAGGCAGCAGUAAGGAAUAUUGGUCAAUGGACGCAAGUCUGAACCAGCCAUGCCGCGUGAGAGGAUGAAGGUCCUCUGGAUUGUAAACUUCUUUUAUCAUGGGGAGCGAAACAACACUGCGUUAUCUAACGCGGCACUGACGGUACCCUAUGAAUAAGCACCGGCUAACUCCGUGCCAGCAGCCCGCGGUAAA